GGUUAAGCGACUAAGCGUACACGGUGGAUGCCCUGGCAGUCAGAGGCGAUGAAGGACGUGCUAAUCUGCGAUAAGCGUCGGUAAGGUGAUAUGAACCGUUAUAACCGGCGAUUUCCGAAUGGGGAAACCCAGUGUGUUUCGACACACUAUCAUUAACUGAAUCCAUAGGUUAAUGAGGCGAACCGGGGAACUGAAACAUCUAAGUACCCCGAGGAAAAGAAAUCAACCGAGAUUCCCCAGUAGCGGCGAGCGAACGGGGAGCAGCCCAGAGCCUGAAUCAGUGUGUGUGUUAGUGGAAGCGUCUGGAAAGGCGCGCGAUACAGGGUGACAGCCCCGUACACAAAAAUGCACAUGCUGUGAGCUCGAUGAGUAGGGCGGGACACGUGGUAUCCUGUCUGAAUAUGGGGGACCAUCCUCCAAGGCUAAAUACUCCUGACUGACCGAUAGUGAACCAGUACCGUGAGGGAAAGGCGAAAAGAACCCCGGCGAGGGAGUGAAAAAGAACCUGAAACCGUGUACGUACAAGCAGUGGGAGCACGCUUAGGCGUGUGACUGCGUACCUUUGUAUAAUGGGUCAGCGACUUAUAUUCUGUAGCAAGGUUAACCGAAUAGGGGAGCCGAAGGGAAACCGAGUCUUAACUGGGCGUUAAGUUGCAGGGUAUAGACCCGAAACCCGGUGAUCUAGCCAUGGGCAGGUUGAAGGUUGGGUAACACUAACUGGAGGACCGAACCGACUAAUGUUGAAAAAUUAGCGGAUGACUUGUGGCUGGGGGUGAAAGGCCAAUCAAACCGGGAGAUAGCUGGUUCUCCCCGAAAGCUAUUUAGGUAGCGCCUCGUGAAUUCAUCUCCAGGGUAGAGCACUGUUUCGGCAAGGGGUCAUCCCGACUUACCAACCCGAUGCAAACUGCGAAUACCGGAGAAUGUUAUCACGGGAGACACACGGCGGGUGCUAACGUCCGUCGUGAAGAGGGAAACAACCCAGACCGCCAGCUAAGGUCCCAAAGUCAUGGUUAAGUGGGAAACGAUGUGGGAAGGCCCAGACAGCCAGGAUGUUGGCUUAGAAGCAGCCAUCAUUUAAAGAAAGCGUAAUAGCUCACUGGUCGAGUCGGCCUGCGCGGAAGAUGUAACGGGGCUAAACCAUGCACCGAAGCUGCGGCAGCGACACUAUGUGUUGUUGGGUAGGGGAGCGUUCUGUAAGCCUGUGAAGGUGUGCUGUGAGGCAUGCUGGAGGUAUCAGAAGUGCGAAUGCUGACAUAAGUAACGAUAAAGCGGGUGAAAAGCCCGCUCGCCGGAAGACCAAGGGUUCCUGUCCAACGUUAAUCGGGGCAGGGUGAGUCGACCCCUAAGGCGAGGCCGAAAGGCGUAGUCGAUGGGAAACAGGUUAAUAUUCCUGUACUUGGUGUUACUGCGAAGGGGGACGGAGAAGGCUAUGUUGGCGGGCGACGGUUGUCCCGGUUUAAGCGUGUAGGCUGGUUUUCCAGGCAAAUCCGGAAAAUCAAGGCUGAGGCGUGAUGACGAGGCACUACGGUGCUGAAGCAACAAAUGCCCUGCUUCCAGGAAAAGCCUCUAAGCAUCAGGUAACAUCAAAUCGUACCCCAAACCGACACAGGUGGUCAGGUAGAGAAUACCAAGGCGCUUGAGAGAACUCGGGUGAAGGAACUAGGCAAAAUGGUGCCGUAACUUCGGGAGAAGGCACGCUGAUAUGUAGGUGAGGUCCCUCGCGGAUGGAGCUGAAAUCAGUCGAAGAUACCAGCUGGCUGCAACUGUUUAUUAAAAACACAGCACUGUGCAAACACGAAAGUGGACGUAUACGGUGUGACGCCUGCCCGGUGCCGGAAGGUUAAUUGAUGGGGUUAGCGCAAGCGAAGCUCUUGAUCGAAGCCCCGUAAACGGCGGUAGUAACUAUAACGGUCCUAAGGUAGCGAAAUUCCUUGUCGGGUAAGUUCCGACCUGCACGAAUGGCGUAAUGAUGGCCAGGCUGUCUCCACCCGAGACUCAGUGAAAUUGAACUCGCUGUGAAGAUGCAGUGUACCCGCGGCAAGACGGAAAGACCCCGUGAACCUUUACUAUAGCUUGACACUGAACAUUGAGCCUUGAUGUGUAGGAUAGGUGGGAGGCUUUGAAGUGUGGACGCCAGUCUGCAUGGAGCCGACCUUGAAAUACCACCCUUUAAUGUUUGAUGUUCUAACGUUGACCCGUAAUCCGGGUUGCGGACAGUGUCUGGUGGGUAGUUUGACUGGGGCGGUCUCCUCCUAAAGAGUAACGGAGGAGCACGAAGGUUGGCUAAUCCUGGUCGGACAUCAGGAGGUUAGUGCAAUGGCAUAAGCCAGCUUGACUGCGAGCGUGACGGCGCGAGCAGGUGCGAAAGCAGGUCAUAGUGAUCCGGUGGUUCUGAAUGGAAGGGCCAUCGCUCAACGGAUAAAAGGUACUCCGGGGAUAACAGGCUGAUACCGCCCAAGAGUUCAUAUCGACGGCGGUGUUUGGCACCUCGAUGUCGGCUCAUCACAUCCUGGGGCUGAAGUAGGUCCCAAGGGUAUGGCUGUUCGCCAUUUAAAGUGGUACGCGAGCUGGGUUUAGAACGUCGUGAGACAGUUCGGUCCCUAUCUGCCGUGGGCGCUGGAGAACUGAGGGGGCUGCUCCUAGUACGAGAGGACCGGAGUGGACGCAUCACUGGUGUUCGGGUUGUCAUGCCAAUGGCACUGCCCGGUAGCUAAAUGCGGAAGAGAUAAGUGCUGAAAGCAUCUAAGCACGAAACUUGCCCCGAGAUGAGUUCUCCCUGACUCCUUGAGAGUCCUGAAGGAACGUUGAAGACGACGACGUUGAUAGGCCGGGUGUGUAAGCGCAGCGAUGCGUUGAGCUAACCGGUACUAAUGAACCGUGAGGCUUAACCUU
RNAcentral lists this ribosomal RNA (2892 nucleotides) under Escherichia coli. Its description in RNAcentral is "23S ribosomal RNA". It matches the Rfam family "Bacterial large subunit ribosomal RNA". Lineage: Bacteria; Pseudomonadati; Pseudomonadota; Gammaproteobacteria; Enterobacterales; Enterobacteriaceae. The record is from RNAcentral.